UGCAUGGUGGCGCAGUGGGUAGCACUGUUUGCAUUGCAGCAAGAAGGUCCUGGGUUCAAUUCCCAGCCGGGGGUCUUUCUGCAU
This is a non-coding RNA of Crenichthys baileyi (White River springfish), 84 nucleotides long. The record is from the annotation of a GenBank genome assembly. Lineage: Eukaryota; Metazoa; Chordata; Actinopteri; Cyprinodontiformes; Goodeidae.